RNAcentral lists this ribosomal RNA (253 nucleotides) under uncultured bacterium. Its description in RNAcentral is "partial 16S ribosomal RNA". It matches the Rfam family "Bacterial small subunit ribosomal RNA", at positions 524 to 776 of the family's 1533-position model. The record is from RNAcentral.
GACGGAAGGUGCAAGCGUUGCUCGGAAUCACUGGGCGUAAAGGGUGCGUAGGCGGCCGUGCAAGUCUGGCGUGAAAGCCCCGGGCUCAGCCCGGGAAGUGCGCUCGAAACUGCGCGGCUCGAGUGCCGGAGGGGAGAGUGGAAUUCCUGGUGUAGCGGUGAAAUGCGCAGAUAUCAGGAGGAACACCAGCGGCGAAGGCGGCGCUCUGGGCCGGUACUGACGCUGAGGAGCGAAAGCGUGGGGAGCAAACAGG